This 253-nucleotide ribosomal RNA is filed under the name uncultured bacterium. RNAcentral's name for it is "partial 16S ribosomal RNA". It matches the Rfam family "Bacterial small subunit ribosomal RNA", at positions 524 to 776 of the family's 1533-position model. The record is from RNAcentral.
UACAGAGGGUGCGAGCGUUAAUCGGAAUUACUGGGCGUAAAGCGCACGUAGGCGGCUUGGUAUGUCGGGUGUGAAAUCCCCGGGCUCAACCUGGGAACUGCAUCCGAAACUGCCUUGCUCGAGUAUGGGAGAGGGAAGUGGAAUUUCCGGUGUAGCGGUGAAAUGCGUAGAUAUCAGGAGGAACACCAAUGGCGAAGGCAGCUCGCUGGGACGUGACUGACGCUGAGACGCGAAAGCGUGGGGAGCAAACAGG